UGAGGAAUAUUGGUCAAUGGGCGAGAGCCUGAACCAGCCAAGUAGCGUGAAGGAUGACUGCCUAUGGGUUGUAAACUUCUUUUAUAAAGGAAUAAAGUCGGGUAUGGAUACCCGUUUGCAUGUACUUUAUGAAUAAGGAUCGGCUAACUCCGUGCC
RNAcentral lists this ribosomal RNA (156 nucleotides) under uncultured bacterium. RNAcentral describes it as "partial 16S ribosomal RNA". It matches the Rfam family "Bacterial small subunit ribosomal RNA", at positions 355 to 509 of the family's 1533-position model. The record is from RNAcentral.